CAGUCGCCGCGGUAAUACAGAGGGUGCAAGCGUUAAUCGGAAUUACUGGGCGUAAAGCGCGCGUAGGUGGUUUGUUAAGUUGGAUGUGAAAGCCCCGGGCUCAACCUGGGAACUGCAUCCAAAACUGGCAAGCUAGAGUACGGUAGAGGGUGGUGGAAUUUCCUGUGUAGCGGUGAAAUGCGUAGAUAUAGGAAGGAACACCAGUUGCGAAGGCGACCACCUGGACUGAUACUGACACUGAGGUGCGAAAGCGUGGGGAGCAAACAGGAUUAGAUACCCCUGUAGUCCCUGUCUCUUAUAC
Molecule: ribosomal RNA, 301 nt
Filed under: uncultured bacterium
Lineage: Bacteria
Description: partial 16S ribosomal RNA
Rfam family: Bacterial small subunit ribosomal RNA
Source: RNAcentral